This 769-nucleotide long non-coding RNA is filed under the name Fukomys damarensis (Damara mole-rat). Its description in RNAcentral is "lncRNA (ENSFDAG00000028818.1)". The record is from RNAcentral. Lineage: Eukaryota; Metazoa; Chordata; Mammalia; Rodentia; Bathyergidae.
GUGGAGGCAGGCAGGCCUGGAGGUGAGAGGGAGCUACACUUGGAGCCUGAUGCGCCAUCUUCAAAAGAACACAGCGUCAAACAAACAGGGAACUUGGAAGUGACACCCUCAGUGGAAGGAUAAUCUUAGAGUGGGGUGGGGUGAGGUACAAACCUGUGUCCCAUCAGCAAGUUUUGUGCACAGAGAAAGGAAGACAGUCCCCAAACAAAAGCAAACACAAACCAAAAAGACAAGUAAAAGUCAGUGGAAACUAUGUGAAUCCCAAGGUGACCUUAAAGGAUUGUUACCAUCAGGUUCCAAAAAAACAAAGAGGACACCACGGCCUCAAGAAAAUCUGCAGUAAAUAUGUGUCUUGGCAGUGCUGAUUGCCUGGGGGACCCUGCACAAAAGAGAACAGGCAGCCUGGACUCCCAAGAAAUGAAGGGCAAACUGCCCUGCCCCAUCCCCUGCUGCUGCUACCAUUUGCCAGAAACCGGAGGAGAGGCGAUGAGACUGGAUUGUAUGCUUUGUUGUAAAUACUCAAGCCUGGGAUAGAUGAAAACACUGACCUCUGACCGCUGCUCCACACCUGGGGUGCAGGAAGAAGCACUGUCAAUAACCACGAACUUUGUGAAAACCGGAAAGGACUGCAGGAGACCUGGGAUGUGGACACCAGGCCCACCCUGCUUCCGGCCACAAUUCCACACACCUGGGGCAAGAGGAGCCCGGGACGAAAAGCACCAGCACCGGGUUGCCAAGAGUGGCGUGGACAGGAGGAACCACAUGCAGC